AUGGGUGCCUGGCCGUUGUCCCUCGCCAGUGCAACGUUCUCUGCCGCUGUUGUGGUUGCCGCGCUGCUGCCGCCGUUGUGCGCCGUGGCGCGCGCACCGGCUCGGGCAGCUACCCCGGGGGGGAGCGGCUGCACCACCCACUGCGGCAACAUCAGCAUCCCGUAUCCGUUCGGGGUGGAGCCCGGCUGCUACCACGAGAGCGGCUUCAACCUCACCUGCAACCAGUCCUACAGCCCGCCUCAGCUCUUCCUCGGCGACGGAACCGUUCAGGUGCUCGACAUCGAUCUGCCCAACGCCACGGUGCGUAUCAACGGAAACUCAUUGGAUAUCCCCUAUGGCGACAUUGGAAACAUAAGCCGCCGCACAUGGCGCGCCGGCGGCCUAGGAUACGCUGCCGACGGGCCAUACUUUGUAGCCGGAGCAGGGCGGAACAACUUGGUAGCACUCGGGUGCAACGUCCAAGUCAUCCUCUUGGGAGAGAACGACACCCUUGUCAGCUCUUGCUCUCCUUUCUGCCCGGACGGAAAUAACAAAGAUGAUACGGAUACCUGCUCCGGCAUCGUCUGCUGCCAGGCAACCAUACUGGAGGGCCGCGCUUCCUAUGGACUCCAGGUCCAACAGGUUGGUUUUGGUUCUUAUAGAUACUACUCGGCCGGUGUGUUAAUUGUGGAAUCGGACUAUUUCUUUCACUCGACGGACAAUUCUUACGAGUACACAGCCCCCGCCAUGCUGACCUGGGCGAUCAACAGCUCGAUAUGUGAUACCAGGGGGUUGUCACCUGCCUGCCGCAGUAAUCACAGCUUCUGUCUUAACUACACCACAGAUUUUGAUCAAGGUCCUGAGAAUGGUGAUCCUGUUGAUCAACGGCAUAACUGCAGGUGCGGUCGUGGUUUCCAAGGCAAUCCAUACAUCUCCCAUGGCUGCUAUGAUAUCGACGAAUGCGAUUAUCCAGACAUCUAUCCAUGUUACGGCAAUUGCAGAAACACACACGGAGGAUAUGACUGUCAGUGCCCUCCUGGCUUCAAGGGUAAUGCUUCUAAACCAAAUGGAUGUGAAGAUAUCGACGAAUGCGAUUAUCCAGACAUCUAUCCAUGUUACGGCAAUUGCAGAAACACACACGGAGGAUAUGACUGUCAGUGCCCUCCUGGCUUCAAGGGUAAUGCUUCUAAACCAAAUGGAUGUGAAGACAUUGACGAAUGUAAACACAAGGAAACAUAUCCAUGUUAUGGAAUCUGCAUCAAUUUGCCCGGGACAUUCCAUUGUCGGUGUCAAGAUGGUGCCUAUGGAGAUCCAUUUAUGAAAUUGGGAUGCGUCAGCGUCAGAACAAAAAGGCCAUUUACAGGUUUGGGCAUAGGUCUUGUGGCUAGUGGCAGCUCAAUCAUUUUACUUUUAGUGCUCGCCGCCCCGUUUAUUGCACGCAAAAUGAAGUUAAAUAGGGCAAACAGACUGAAAAGAAGAUUGUUCAAGCAAAAUCAUGGGUUGCUAUUGCAACAACUAAUAUCCCAGAAAACAGAUUUUGGUGAAAGGAUGAUCAUUCCUUUGUUGGAUCUAGAGAAGGCCACAAACAAUUUUGACAGAACACGUGAGGCCGGCGGCGGAGGCCACGGUGUUGUGUAUAAAGGAAUUUUAGACCUACAGGUUGUCGCCAUCAAGAAAUCCAAGAUCGUCGUACAGAGAGAAAUCGAUGACUUCAUAAACGAGGUUGCAAUUCUUUCUCAAAUCAACCAUAGAAAUGUCGUGAAGCUAAUUGGAUGUUGUCUUGAGACAGAAGUGCCAUUACUAGUUUAUGAGUUCAUUUCAAAUGGUACUCUUGAUUACCAUCUUCAUGUGGAAGGCCCAAUGUCACUGUCAUGGGAUGAUCGAACAAGGAUUGCGCUUGAAGUUGCUAGAGCUCUUUCUUAUCUCCAUUCUGCUGCUUCGAUGCCAAUUUAUCACAGGGAUAUUAAAUCAUCUAACAUACUUCUUGAUGAUAAUUUGACAGCAAAGGUAUCAGAUUUUGGAGCUUCGAGAUACAUCCCAAUCGACCAAACCGGGGUGACUACAGCCGUGCAAGGAACAAUAGGCUACUUAGACCCCAUGUACUAUUAUACCGGUCGCCUAACAGACAAGAGUGAUGUUUUCAGUUUUGGUGUUCUGCUUGUAGAAUUCCUAACUAGAAAAAAACCAUGCCUCUACCGUAGUGGUGGCAACGAUGGUGUUGGCCUCGUUUCACAUUUUGUUUCACUACUCGCAGAAGGCAACCUUGAUGAGAUAAUAGAUCCUCAACUCAUAGAAGAGGAAAAUGGGGAAGUCCAGGAGGUAGCUACGCUAGCAGCGAUGUGCAUUAAAUUGAAGGGAGAAGAGCGGCCUACAAUGAGGGAAGCCGAGAUGAAACUUGAAAUUUUGAGAGUUAAUAUGCGUGUGGCACUUGAUACUGCUGCAUCAAGGAGAUAUGACAGGGGUCAAACUGAGUUUCUAUACAUGCCGACAGAAGCAGUUGUUGUGGAAGCAAGCAGGCAAUACACUAUGGAGGAAGAAAUAUUGUCUUCUGCAAGUUAUCCUCGAUGA
This 2547-nucleotide ribosomal RNA is filed under the name Triticum aestivum (bread wheat). RNAcentral describes it as "partial small subunit ribosomal RNA". The record is from RNAcentral. Lineage: Eukaryota; Viridiplantae; Streptophyta; Magnoliopsida; Poales; Poaceae.